Sebastes umbrosus (honeycomb rockfish) is the source of this 935-nucleotide long non-coding RNA. RefSeq lists it as uncharacterized. Lineage: Eukaryota; Metazoa; Chordata; Actinopteri; Perciformes; Sebastidae. The record is from RefSeq and is a predicted model, not a curated record. The transcript is spliced from 2 exons.
GGGACUGUAUGUUACCAGGUUUGACAACUGAAAACUUGAUUUGCCACUGCUUGCAUAUCAUUUGUUUCCAGAGGCGUAAAUAAGGUUUAGCGAUAUCCUACAGUCGCCCUGGGUGCAGUGUUAACUAGGGCGGUCCCGAAUACUAUUUUUUUGGCUUUGACGCUUCGGUGAGUAAUAUUCAAAAGCUGACAUGUUCUUCUGUCUGUCUGUCUCCAUUUCCGUCGUUUCAGUGUCCGGGAAAGUGCUCUAGGCGCAACAAACAGCCAUAUCCGUCUGAGAAUAACUAAUAAUGAAUGUUGAAUAUGAAUAAUGUUAUGGGACUAUUCCUUAUUUCAUGGGCAAUUUUGGGAUUUAUACAUUAUUAUUAUUACAUACUUAUAUAUAAACAAAAAACGAAGCAUUCUAAUACUGAUUUUGAGGUUGAAUACCAUGGCAGCAGUUGAAGCAUUGGGGUCAACCUUAGUGUUAACAUUUUAAUUUUAUUAGCGUGUUUUAGUGCCCCGGACCAGAAAAAAAUACUCUUGGAAUAUUCAAAACAACUACACGCACAUAAUAAAGAAAUAAUUUAUUUAGUCCUGAUGUCCGCUACGAUUGCAAUCACAAAAGACACAAGCAUUAGGCAAGAUGUGAGCCAGCUUGGCAGAUUAUAGCCUUUCCAUUGCAGUCAUACAGAUUUGCUGAAGUCAUGCCCUGAACACUUUAUAAGAUGACUUAGAAAAAAAAAUAUUUGUAUAAAGGAAAAAGACAAACUGCAACCACGCUUUUUCUUUAAAUUAAAGGGCACACUUCCAUAAAAUGAUUUACAAUCACUUUCCUUUUGUACAUACACAUUAAUGGCUACAGAGCCAUGAAGGGGUUCAGGUGUAUAAGUUACACAGGGGGUAUGGACACUGGGGCGAUGAUGGUUGAAAGCAAAUUUAGGUGCCAAAAAAAAA